RNAcentral lists this unclassified non-coding RNA (318 nucleotides) under Hevea brasiliensis (rubber tree). Lineage: Eukaryota; Viridiplantae; Streptophyta; Magnoliopsida; Malpighiales; Euphorbiaceae. The record is from RNAcentral.
CUUUUGUUUAAUCUCAGUGAUUGAACUUUUGGAUCGCUGUACAACACGAUGAACGUGAGCCGGCCUUCGGUGCAUCCGGUCGAGGCGCCACCACUUACGGAAGGAGCGGUACACAAUGGGCCGAGGGUGAGAAUGAAGGAUGUACAGGGCAUGCCUGGAACACUAGGUGGACUUGCUCUUCGUCUCCUUCAGUUCAUAUUUGCUGCAGUUUCUCUCUGUGUUAUGGCCACCACCAGUGAUUUUCCCUCCGUCACGGCGUUUCGAUAUCUUGUUGCUGCUGUUGGCUUGCAAUGCUUGUGGAGCUUUUCAUUGGCAGUA